RNAcentral lists this ribosomal RNA (472 nucleotides) under uncultured bacterium. RNAcentral describes it as "bacterial SSU rRNA". It matches the Rfam family "Bacterial small subunit ribosomal RNA", at positions 330 to 794 of the family's 1533-position model. The record is from RNAcentral.
UCCAGACUCCUACGGGAGGCAGCAGUGGGGAAUAUUGCACAAUGGGCGCAAGCCUGAUGCAGCCAUGCCGCGUGUAUGAAGAAGGCCUUCGGGUUGUAAAGUACUUUCAGCGGGGAGGAAGGCGAUAAGGUUAAUAACCUUGUCGAUUGACGUUACCCGCAGAAGAAGCACCGGCUAACUCCGUGCCAGCAGCCGCGGUAAUACGGAGGGUGCAAGCGUUAAUCGGAAUUACUGGGCGUAAAGCGCACACAGGCGGUCUGGCAAGUCGGAGGUGAAAUCCCCGGGCUCAACCUGGGAACUGCAUUCGAAACUGGCAGGCUUGAGUCUCGUAGAGGGGGGUAGAAUUCCAGGUGGAGCGGUGAAAUGCGUAGAGAUCUGGAGGAAUACCGGUGGCGAAGGCGGCCCCCUGGACGAAGACUGACGCUCAGGUGCGAAAGCGUGGGGAGCAAACAGGAUUAGAUACCCUCGUAUC